AAGUCGUAACAAGGUUUCCGUAGGUGAACCUGCGGAAGGAUCAUUAACACGUAUCCAAACGUUAAAACCCCCCCCGUGAACAUUGAUUCCUGCUCUUGUAACCCGCGAAGCUUGCAAUCUCUGGUAAAUCAUAGCCCGGAAAGUAGUUUUGAUUCAGAGACCUCUGGCCCGUGCGAAAUCACAACAGUUACAAUUCGAGCGGUAGUUCUAUAGGCCUUGUUUCCCCAAGCAGUCAGUGUCUGAAAGUGUCAGUGAUUGUGCAAGGAUAACGCUUCACGAUUCUUGUAGACCGCAUCUCGCGGGCAGGAGCUAGGCUUACAACCCCACAGUUAAAUGUGAAGCUCAAUGUAAUACAUUGGGUAAAAAACCGAACAACUGUUAACAAUGGAUAUCUUGGUUCUC
Molecule: unclassified non-coding RNA, 402 nt
Filed under: fungal sp.
Lineage: Eukaryota; Fungi
Description: partial internal transcribed spacer region
Rfam family: Eukaryotic small subunit ribosomal RNA (bases 1-46)
Source: RNAcentral